AUUGAACGCUGGCGGAAUGCUUUACACAUGCAAGUCGAACGAUGAACCUUAGCUUGCUAAGGGGAUUAGUGGCGAACGGGUGAGUAAUGUAUCGGAACGUAUCCAAUAAUGGGGGAUAACUAGUCGAAAGAUUAGCUAAUACCGCAUACGUCCUACGGGAGAAAGCUAGGGACCUUCGGGCCUGGCGUUAAUGGAGCGGCCGAUAUCUGAUUAGCUAGUUGGUGGGGUAAAGGCUCACCAAGGCGACGAUCAGUAGCUGGUCUGAGAGGACGACCAGCCACACUGGAACUGAGACACGGUCCAGACUCCUACGGGAGGCAGCAGUGGGGAAUUUUGGACAAUGGGCGGAAGCCUGAUUCAGCCAUUCCGCGUGAGUGAAGAAGGCCUUCGGGUUGUAAAGCUCUUUCGCAAGGGAAGAAAACUUAAGCUCUAACAUAGCUUGAGGUUGACGGUACCUUGAUAAGAAGCACCGGCUAACUACGUGCCAGCCGCCGCGGUAA
Molecule: ribosomal RNA, 500 nt
Filed under: uncultured bacterium
Lineage: Bacteria
Description: partial 16S ribosomal RNA
Rfam family: Bacterial small subunit ribosomal RNA
Source: RNAcentral